Molecule: long non-coding RNA, 3900 nt
Organism: Sarcophilus harrisii (Tasmanian devil)
Lineage: Eukaryota; Metazoa; Chordata; Mammalia; Dasyuromorphia; Dasyuridae
Source: Ensembl
GUGGAUGGAGGUCAGUGUAGAGGCUAAGCCAAGGUUCUUGUUCCUCCAGGAAGUGAGCGAGAAUUCCUGCUAUGACCUGACCAGGGUGAAAAUGAUGAGAUCCUAUAGGCAACACCCCGAAACUUUGUGGAGAAUUACUACUCAUCACCCCCAUCCACUGAGGUCUGUACAAUCAGGGUGAAGGAAUAAGCAUGCUGGCAAUUCCACAUUUCUAGGAAGCACCGUUCCCCGACUCUGCUCUCCUUUCCACCAACCCAUCUCUUCUGUACCCCCAAGCCAUCGGGGAGUAAUUCUGUCUCUCACAGAUGAUAAGCACAACGAUCUCCAAGUGGCUUUCCUGAAUAUCUACCACAACCAGACCCUCAAAACCCUCAUGGCCUGGAGUGGGUGGUGCAAUUCUGCCCCAGGACUCACUAUGUGCUUAAGGGUCUUUAGUUCCAGAAUAAGAUAGAAUACAGCUUUUUACAAAUCUUCAAUUCCAUGGAGGGCAGUUGGUGGGCAAAGAAGAUCAGGUGCCUCAGAACAGGCACUGGACCAGAUCACAGGGUUGGAGACCCCGAAUCUGAGGAGUUAUGAGACUGCCAUCUCAGAAACUAUCCUGUGCCAUCUUCAAGUGAAUUCAGGUCCUUCAAAGUUUGUUGGACUCACACUGAACACCGGAGAACCUCUUCCAGUCUGGUAUUUAAACUGUCCCAGAAAUUCUGUUGUGAUGAAAGCUGAUGCAUACAAGAAUUGUCCAGGAGGCUGGAUGACAGCCAAUAGAAUGGAAUACCUGUAGCAGGAAACUUUGGGGCUUAGUCCCCCACCACAAAUUCUGUAAUAAAAAAAAUUCCUGGAAAAUUUCAGAACCCGUAGGGGGCUCUUGAAUUUGUAGUAUCUGCAAAGGGACCACUUUCUGGUUCAAUGUCACCUCCUAAAUCAAACUUUUAACACCCUAUGUUAACAAUAAUUACCUCACAUCCCCCACAAGAGCUAUCAACUCCCUUUUCUCUAUCCAAAAGAAGCCCUAAUGCUGAUGAAAAGACCAGGACCACAGUGAUAUUCCAGGCACACAACCAGUUGUGAAAUGAUGGGACACUGAGCCUGAGUGAUCCGCUGACCACACAGCAACAAAGAAAUUGGGUCUGGAUAACAUCUUAACUGUGAUGCAAUAAAAUUGAUUUUUAAAAUGAGGGGAUGGCAGGCAGCAAUAAUGAAGAUGGGAAAACCAAGAUCCUCCUUCAUUUAGGGAAUCAAGAUGUUAUCUGUGUUGAGGAUUCCUAGAGUGACUUGGCUAGAGCAAAGAUAGCUAGCUGGUAGAAGGUCCCCUGUAAUCCUGACACUAUCCCUGAGAGCUGAGUCUGGGCUGGAAGAAGGCUCUUAUGAAGGGCUGCUAAAAGGAGGGAAAAAAAAAAAUCCAGGUUAGAAGGGAAGGCAACCUGAUGCAGUGGGAAGGGCCCUUGAUUUGGAAGACUUUAAGUUCUAGUUGUGAUCCUAUACCAACUCACUCAUUGGGCAAAUCACUGUUCCCCCUCCGAAACUCAGUUUCUCCAUUUGCAAAAUGAAGGGGAUGGACAAGAUCUUUAAAAUCCUUUCCAGUCCUAAGACUCUUAUGGAUAAAACCUAUGAGAACUUUGCCCAGUUCAAUAGCCACACUCCCCACCUCUACCUGGCCUCAGCCCCUUAUCAGUAUUGUUGGAAUUCUUAACUGAUCCAAUCAUCUCUUGUCCCCAUUUUAAUCAAGUUGAAGGGCACACUAAAACUCCCUCCCUCUCUCAUCAAUUCCCUGUGAGCUAUAUAAUGAGUUCCUCAGUGGGAAGGAAGAUUUCAGAGCUGGGAGCAGAAAACAAGGCCCUGCAAAGGAUACCCCCAGAACAGUUUUACUGGCCAAUUUCUAGGGCCCCAUCCAAGUUCCUGCCACAUCAAGGGAAAGGCAGGCAGACAUUCACCAUUGUGUCUUUUUAUCUCCUUUGCUGCUCCCAGAUCUAUGUCAACUAAAUUCUCCACAAGGAAAACAUCAUCUAGCAUGCCAGAGGGGAUAGGAAGGAGUGAGGACAGAAACUGUUUGUAACCUAAGCUCACUAACUCUGAUCUGGUCUUUUGUUCCUUCCACCUCAGUAUACUACUGACACCAUAAGACUAACAUGGGGACAUCGGUGCUCAGGUUUUUCAGGUGCUGUCCAGAGUGGGGGAGAGAAAUGGAAGGAGAGGAACUUUUCAAUACUACUGGAAGGUCAUCCAACAUCAAUGAGAGGGUCCAGAGGCAGAUUCAGUACCCUGUGGAGAAGGUGCAAGCCCACACCUACCCCUUUCCUGUUCAACCAUCCAAACAAGUGCGUGGCAAAUCCUGCCGGCCCCUUCCUUUUGAUGUUGGUCAGGACCAAACCCCAGGAAGCCAGCAGAAACCAGGUCAUCUGACGCACAUGGGGCCACAAAGCUGUGUUAUCUGAGUGGACAUCCACCUUGUCUUCCUGAUGGGCCCACUUCCAUUCCUCUUUCCUAUGGGAUUUGUUGGUAGAUAAAAGCAGAAAGCACCAAGAUUUCCUCCAAGGAGGUUUCCUAGAUACAUAUCACAAUCUGACUCUUAAGACCCUCAAAGGAUCAGAAUGGGUAGCUCGCUACUGUCCCACUACCUGCAGUACCUGCUGCCUUCCAAGGAACCCCAGGUCAAGAAUUUCAUUAAAGGACACAUUUAUAGGACUAUGGACCCCAUUAGGAUCACAAGGAAGUAGAGAAAUACCUAAGGAAAUCAGCCCCCAAACCAAGUACCCUCUCUACUACAGUGGAUUUCACUAUGUGAUAACCACUAAUCUAUUCAUCAGGGUCUUGGUUGCUGCCCCAAAUGUAAAGAAUAUCUACUUGGAAGCUUUAAGAGUCAUGCUUCCAAGUGCUUGAAGAAGCAUCCAUACACAGCUUCCUAACUCUUUCCAGCAGUACCAAAUUAAGUUUCAUCAAUGUAGCUGUCUUCAAUUUGCCUUUGUCAAUGGCUUUCUUCCCCAGGAACUGCAGGGGUACUGGCCUACCUUCCAAGAGGCAAUACAUGUUUCCCAGUAUUAUCUAUUUAGCAAUCAUGAUCCUCUCUCCUCAGGGCCAACAGCGUGAGUUUCCUACUUACUUUACUCUCUGGACUAGCAAUAUAAUCAUUAAAGGCAGUGAACAAAAUGAAGUGACAAAAAUGAACUUUCCUCUGGUCGUGAUGGCAUGGGAGAGGAGGAAGAAGCAUCCAAAGGAUACAGUAUGCAUUUGAUAGGGUGUCCCAAAAGACAUAGUACAGUUUUAACUAAAUUUUUGCUUUUAUAGCUUAAUAAACCUUGGAAAAAUUAUUUAAAAUUGUAACCAAGGCCUAAUGUUAGGGAACAGUAUAGAGUUCCAGGAAGAUCAUGAUGAGUUUGAUUUAAGACCUGACCUGGGACAUUAAUCUACAACUGCAAAUUGAACUCUAGGUCACCCAAGGAGUCCCUACAACCAUGUAGAACCUAAUGGUGUCUUUUGGGAUGAUCCUCUCAUGAAACACAGCUAUACUCCAUUUUCCAACCAAGUCCCUCUAAAUAGGAGACCUACAUGUAGGUGACUAAAAAGUACACUUAACUGUCCACCAGCUAAAGGGAACAGGUGAAAGAUAAGGCAUUGUGGUGUAGUGGAAAGAGUGCUGGGCUUGGAGAGUCAGCAGACCUGGGUCAAGUUAUGAUAGAGCUGCUCACACCACUUAGAUGAGCAGUCACCAACUAUAAUCAUUCCAGCAAGAUGGAGGACCACUGUGGCUCUUGCUCUUUGCCCUAUCACAAUUCCCUCCUGACUCUCAGGGGACUGCCAUCUGACCUGCCAAUGAUUCCUAAGAACUGGGUCUCGCCAUCUACCCUUCAGUCAUACCCUUACAGUCCUGGCCCUUCUGUCAUAUAGCUGACCUCGCUUAUCUAUGCU